This 465-nucleotide ribosomal RNA is filed under the name uncultured bacterium. Its description in RNAcentral is "bacterial SSU rRNA". It matches the Rfam family "Bacterial small subunit ribosomal RNA", at positions 338 to 795 of the family's 1533-position model. The record is from RNAcentral.
CCUACGGGAUGCACCAGUGGGGAAUAUUGCACAAUGGGCGCAAGCCUGAUGCAGCCAUGCCGCGUGUAUGAAGAAGGCCUUCGGGUUGUAAAGUACUUUCAGCGGGGAGAAAGGCGGUAAGGUUAAUAACCUUGUCGAUUGAGGUUACCCGCAGAAGAAGCACCGGCUAACUCCGUGCCAGCAGCCGCGGUAAUACGGAGGGUGCAAGCGUUAAUCGGAAUUACUGGGCGUAAAGCGCACGCAGGCGGUCUGUCAAGUCGGAUGUCAAAUCCCCGGGCUCAACCUGGGAACUGCAUUCGAGACUGGCAGGCUAGAGUCUUGUAGAGGGGGGUAGAAUUCCAGGUGUAGCGGUGAAAUGCGUAGAGAUUUGGAGGAAUACCGGUGGCGAAGGCGGCCCCCUGGACAAAGACUGACGCUCAGGUGCGAAAGCAUGGGGAGCAAACAGGAUUAGAUACCCCCGUAGUC